AAAAAGAAGAAGAAAAAAC
Molecule: small RNA, 19 nt
Filed under: Arabidopsis thaliana (thale cress)
Lineage: Eukaryota; Viridiplantae; Streptophyta; Magnoliopsida; Brassicales; Brassicaceae
Description: ATSL011700
Source: RNAcentral